AACAGGAUUAGAUACCCUGGUAGUCCACGCCGUAAACGAUGUCGACUUGAAGGCUGUUCCCUUGAGGAGUGGCUUCCGGAGCUAACGCGUUAAGUCGACCGCCUGGGGAGUACGGCCGCAAGGUUAAAACUCAAAUGAAUUGACGGGGGCCCGCACAAGCGGUGGAGCAUGUGGUUUAAUUCGAUGCAACGCGAAGAACCUUACCUACUCUUGACAUCCAGAGAACUUAGCAGAGAUGCUUUGGUGCCUUCGGGAACUCUGAGACAGGUGCUGCAUGGCUGUCGUCAGCUCGUGUUGUGAAACGUUGGGUUAAGUCCCGCAACGAGCGCAACCCUUAUCCUUUGUUGCCAGCGGUCCGGCCGGGAACUCAAAGGAGACUGCCAGUGAUAAACUGGAGGAAGGUGGGGAUGACGUCAAGUCAUCAUGGCCCUUACGAGUAGGGCUACACACGUGCUACAAUGGCGCAUACAAAGAGAAGCGACCUCGCGAGAGCAAGCGGACCUCAUAAAGUGCGUCGUAGUCCGGAUUGGAGUCUGCAACUCGACUCCAUGAAGUCGGAAUCGCUAGUAAUCGUAGAUCAGAAUGCUACGGUGAAUACGUUCCCGGGCCUUGUACACACCGCCCGUCACACCAUGGGAGUGGGUUGCAAAAGAAGUAGGUAGCUUAACCUUCGGGAGGGCGCUUACCACUUUGUGAUUCAUGACUGGGGUGAAGUCGUAACAAGGUAACC
RNAcentral lists this ribosomal RNA (730 nucleotides) under uncultured bacterium. Its description in RNAcentral is "bacterial SSU rRNA". It matches the Rfam family "Bacterial small subunit ribosomal RNA", at positions 771 to 1501 of the family's 1533-position model. The record is from RNAcentral.